GGGGUGCUAUACAUGCAAGUCGAGCGGACAGAUGGGAGCUUGCUCCCUGAUGUUAGCGGCGGACGGGUGAGUAACACGUGGGUAACCUGCCUGUAAGACUGGGAUAACUCCGGGAAACCGGGGCUAAUACCGGAUGGUUGUUUGAACCGCAUGGUUCAGACAUAAAAGGUGGCUUCGGCUACCACUUACAGAUGGACCCGCGGCGCAUUAGCUAGUUGGUGAGGUAACGGCUCACCAAGGCGACGAUGCGUAGCCGACCUGAGAGGGUGAUCGGCCACACUGGGACUGAGACACGGCCCAGACUCCUACGGGAGGCAGCAGUAGGGAAUCUUCCGCAAUGGACGAAAGUCUGACGGAGCAACGCCGCGUGAGUGAUGAAGGUUUUCGGAUCGUAAAGCUCUGUUGUUAGGGAAGAACAAGUGCCGUUCAAAUAGGGCGGCACCUUGACGGUACCUAACCAGAAAGCCACGGCUAACUACGUGCCAGCAGCCGCGGUAAUACGUAGGUGGCAAGCGUUGUCCGGAAUUAUUGGGCGUAAAGGGCUCGCAGGCGGUUUCUUAAGUCUGAUGUGAAAGCCCCCGGCUCAACCGGGGAGGGUCAUUGGAAACUGGGGAACUUGAGUGCAGAAGAGGAGAGUGGAAUUCCACGUGUAGCGGUGAAAUGCGUAGAGAUGUGGAGGAACACCAGUGGCGAAGGCGACUCUCUGGUCUGUAACUGACGCUGAGGAGCGAAA
RNAcentral lists this ribosomal RNA (733 nucleotides) under Bacillus amyloliquefaciens. RNAcentral describes it as "bacterial SSU rRNA". It matches the Rfam family "Bacterial small subunit ribosomal RNA", at positions 41 to 758 of the family's 1533-position model. Lineage: Bacteria; Bacillati; Bacillota; Bacilli; Caryophanales; Bacillaceae. The record is from RNAcentral.